Molecule: ribosomal RNA, 257 nt
Filed under: Lactococcus lactis subsp. lactis
Lineage: Bacteria; Bacillati; Bacillota; Bacilli; Lactobacillales; Streptococcaceae
Description: partial 16S ribosomal RNA
Rfam family: Bacterial small subunit ribosomal RNA
Source: RNAcentral
GAGCGCUGAAGGUUGGUACUUGUACCGACUGGAUGAGCAGCGAACGGGUGAGUAACGCGUGGGGAAUCUGCCUUUGAGCGGGGGACAACAUUUGGAAACGAAUGCUAAUACCGCAUAAAAACUUUAAACACAAGUUUUAAGUUUGAAAGAUGCAAUUGCAUCACUCAAAGAUGAUCCCGCGUUGUAUUAGCUAGUUGGUGAGGUAAAGGCUCACCAAGGCGAUGAUACAUAGCCGACCUGAGAGGGUGAUCGGCCAC